Rana temporaria (common frog) is the source of this 631-nucleotide long non-coding RNA. RefSeq lists it as uncharacterized. NCBI's taxonomy places the organism in Eukaryota, Metazoa, Chordata, Amphibia, Anura, Ranidae. The transcript has 3 exons. The record is from RefSeq and is a predicted model, not a curated record.
CUCCGACCACGCCCGCCGUACCUAGGCCCGCCCCCUUACUUCCCUAUAUAAACCUCUAGCCGUCCAAACAAUGUCAGACAUUGCUGGACGGCAGAGGUACUAGUGACAUGUCUGGUGGCCACACUGAGCGCUUGUCUCUUAUUGGAGCUCUGCUAGCUCUCUACUGACACCUCUGGCCAAAUUUAAUAUGACACAUUUCUGCUAACCUCAUGUAUGCAGUUAUUUAAUUAUUAUUUUUUGACAUAUUUUUCUACAUAUGGUUAGGUAUUUCAUUACAUGUAUAUUUAUCCUGUCCCUUUUUUAUGGACAGGUUUUUACAUUAUCAUAUGUUACUUUGUGACUAUAUGGGCCUGAGGUCUUGCUAUAUGUGAUUCUGCACCGCCGGCUUCCUUCCUCUUAAUUUCAUCCAGAGGAGUCUUUCUGCGUCCUGAUAGUGGUGUCCUUUCUCUGGGGUGUGCAGGGUUGAUUAAACGCUGUGAUUGAAAAGUGGUUCUUAUACUCGUUGACUACAUAUACUUCGGCCCCUGAUGAAGGGUAAUCCGAAACGCGUAGGGCCGUGUAUGUCUUCAUGGACCUUGCUUUUCAAUGACACCUAACCAUGUAUUGUUUUUAAAUAACUCUAUGUGAUAUA